CCGCCGGACCUGACUGCUAUCGGAUUGAUACUANNCCAUGCGAGUCAUUGUAGCAAUACAAGGCAUACGGCUCAGUAACGCGUAGUCAACCUAACCUAUGGACGGGAAUAACCUCGGGAAACUGAGAAUAAUGCCCGAUAGAACAUUAUGCCUGGAAUGGUUUAUGUUCCAAAUGAUUUAUCGCCGUAGGAUGGGACUGCGGCCUAUCAGUUUGUUGGUGAGGUAAUGGCCCACCAAGACUAUUACAGGUACGGGCUCUGAGAGGAGUAGCCCGGAGAUGGGUACUGAGACACGGACCCAGGCCCUAUGGGGCGCAGCAGGCGAGAAAACUUUGCAAUGUGCGAAAGCACGACAAGGUUAAUCCGAGUGGUUUCUGCUAAAGGAACCUUUUGUCAGUCCUAGAAACACUGAUGAAUAAGGGGUGGGCAAGUUCUGGUGUCAGCCGCCGCGGUAAAACCAGCACCUCAAGUGGUCAGGAUGAUUAUUGGGCCUAAAGCAUCCGUAGCCGGCUCUGUAAGUUUUCGGUUAAAUCUGUACGCUCAACGUACAGGCUGCCGGGAAUACUGCAAAGCUAGGGAGUGGGAGAGGUAG
Molecule: ribosomal RNA, 591 nt
Filed under: uncultured archaeon
Lineage: Archaea
Description: bacterial SSU rRNA
Rfam family: Archaeal small subunit ribosomal RNA
Source: RNAcentral